RNAcentral lists this long non-coding RNA (348 nucleotides) under Pelobates cultripes (western spadefoot toad). The record is from RNAcentral. Lineage: Eukaryota; Metazoa; Chordata; Amphibia; Anura; Pelobatidae.
UGUAAGUGUAAUGGUAUUUAUUAAUUAAUGACUUUACAUCAUAAAGAAAGCAUAUUUAGUGUAAUGCUUUGGGGGCACCACUAGGGGUAGUGUGUAGGAAGACAUGUGCUUCUGGCAGUGACAUCACAGGCCAGCCUACUUACACUGAAUAAAACCAGAUGGAGGAGAAAACUCUGUCUCUUUGCCUCUUUGCCUGUACCUGAAAGAUGUAGUAGCAGCUCUGAUUUAACCCCAGCCAAAGGGCUGGGGCCUUGUAAGUAAAAUGUUGUGUAACAUGUAGCAACCUUUUGUAAGUAUUAUGUUGUAGUUUUGUAUUGUAUCAUAAUUGUAGUAAAUUGACAUUCUGCU